Molecule: ribosomal RNA, 251 nt
Filed under: uncultured Desulfobulbus sp.
Lineage: Bacteria; Pseudomonadati; Thermodesulfobacteriota; Desulfobulbia; Desulfobulbales; Desulfobulbaceae
Description: partial 16S ribosomal RNA
Rfam family: Bacterial small subunit ribosomal RNA
Source: RNAcentral
UGGGCACUCUAAAGGGACUGCCGUGUUAAACCGGAGGAAGGUGGGGAUGACGUCAAGUCCUCAUGGCCUUUAUGACCAGGGCUACACACGUACUACAAUGGCCGAUACAAAGGGCAGCGACACUGCGAGGUGAAGCCAAUACCCGUAAAAUCGGUCUCAGUCCGGAUUGGAGUCUGCAACUCGACUCCAUGAAGUUGGAAUCGCUAGUAAUCGUGGAUCAGCAUGCCACGGUGAAUACGUUCCCGGGCCUU